This 193-nucleotide unclassified non-coding RNA is filed under the name Basidiomycota sp. RNAcentral describes it as "partial contains small subunit ribosomal RNA, internal transcribed spacer 1, and 5.8S ribosomal RNA". The stretch from base 1 to 47 matches the Rfam family "Eukaryotic small subunit ribosomal RNA", at positions 1785 to 1831 of the family's 1831-position model. The record is from RNAcentral. Lineage: Eukaryota; Fungi; Basidiomycota.
AAAGUCGUAACAAGGUCUCCGUAGGUGAACCUGCGGAGGGAUCAUUAUUGUGACUCUUUUUAUUGUCGACGAUUUUCUUGUGUCUGCGGCAGGGGGAGAGUCCUUGUAAGACCGCAGGUUUAUUUAUAUUCUACUUUUUGAAUUCAACCCAAAAAAAAAUCCAAAACUUUCAGCAACGGAUCUCUUGGCUCUG